RNAcentral lists this microRNA (21 nucleotides) under Corchorus olitorius. Its description in RNAcentral is "ath-miR865-". The record is from RNAcentral. Lineage: Eukaryota; Viridiplantae; Streptophyta; Magnoliopsida; Malvales; Malvaceae.
AUCAAUUUGGAUCUAAUUUAG